RNAcentral lists this non-coding RNA (28 nucleotides) under Rattus norvegicus (Norway rat). Lineage: Eukaryota; Metazoa; Chordata; Mammalia; Rodentia; Muridae. The record is from RNAcentral.
UGGUAUCCUCGAACUCCCUCAAUAAGAC